Molecule: ribosomal RNA, 468 nt
Filed under: uncultured bacterium
Lineage: Bacteria
Description: partial 16S ribosomal RNA
Rfam family: Bacterial small subunit ribosomal RNA
Source: RNAcentral
GACGAACGCUGGCGGCGUGCUUAACACAUGCAAGUCGAACGGAAAGGCCCUGCUUUUGUGGGGUGCUCGAGUGGCGAACGGGUGAGUAACACGUGAGUAACCUGCCCUUGACUUUGGGAUAACUUCAGGAAACUGGGGCUAAUACCGGAUAGGAGCUCCUGCUGCAUGGUGGGGGUUGGAAAGUUUCGGCGGUUGGGGAUGGACUCGCGGCUUAUCAGCUUGUUGGUGGGGUAGUGGCUUACCAAGGCUUUGACGGGUAGCCGGCCUGAGAGGGUGACCGGCCACAUGGGGACUGAGAGACGGCGCAGACGCCUACGGGAGGCAGCAGUGGGGAAUAUUGCACAAUGGGCGGAAGCCGGAUGCAGCAACGCCGCGGGCGGGAUGACGGCCUUCGGGUUGUAAACCGCUUUCGCCUGUGACGAAGCGUGAGUGACGGUAAUGGGUAAAGAAGCACCGGCUAACUACGUG